RNAcentral lists this ribosomal RNA (468 nucleotides) under uncultured bacterium. Its description in RNAcentral is "partial 16S ribosomal RNA". It matches the Rfam family "Bacterial small subunit ribosomal RNA", at positions 28 to 507 of the family's 1533-position model. The record is from RNAcentral.
GACGAACGCUGGCGGCGUGCUUAACACAUGCAAGUCGAACGGACAGGCCCUGCUUUUGUGGGGUGCUCGAGUGGCGAACGGGUGAGUAACACGUGAGUAACCUGCCCUUGACUUUGGGAUAACUUCAGGAAACUGGGGCUAAUACCGGAUAGGAGCUCCUGCUGCAUGGGGGGGGUUGGAAAGUGUCGGCGGUUGGGGAUGGACUAGCGGCUUAUCAGCUGGUUGGUGGGGUAGUGGCUGACCAAGGCUUUGACGGGUAGCCGGCCUGAGAGGGUGACCGGCCACAUUGGGACUGAGAUACGGCCCAGACUCCUACGGGAGGCAGCAGUGGGGAAUAUGGCACAACGGGCGGAAGCCUGAUGUAGCAACCCCGCGUGCGGGAUGAUGGGUUUCGGGUGGUAAACCGCUUUCGCAGUUGACGAAGCGUGAGUGACGGUAAUGGGUAAAGAAGCACCGGCUAACUACGUG